CCAUUUCUUCCACUACAGAGUGACGAGCUCCUCUGUCUCAACUCCCCAUAGGCAAAAUCAGUUUUGCUUGUCCAAUUUAGAGUGUCUUCUCCGACGUUCUCUGACCUCCGGCGACACCAUCAUAGCUGCAACACAAUGGUUGGGGUUUCUGUAGGAGAUGAGGUUAACAAGGACACAUCCCUAAUUUUCACUAUUGAUUUGGUGUUUGAUAACAAAGAAUCGGUGAUUGAAUGGGCAAGGAGAACUGGGCGUUUCAAUGGGAUGGUGGUGGUUGUAUUCAAGACUUGAGAGCAAGGAUCUACUCCAUCUGAACCCAGUUCCACCUUAUCUGAACCCAUUCCACAUCGACCCAUCGUCAAUUUCACCCAUUAUCAAGGCCUUCACUUUAUCUUCUUAUAGUCUCCACAAAGCUCAGCACGCUUUUCCAUCAUAUUGAACAACUCAGGUAGUCUUCAUUGUGAAAAGAUUCAUGUUCAUGCUUUCCAAUACCAUGAUUCAUGCAUAUUCCUGCUGUGAUGAGUUGAAUCUUGCGAGCCACUGUUUGACGGAAUGGUUGACAAGGACUUGGUUUCUUGGAAUGGCUUGAGGUGUAUUUGUAAAAUGUUUGGGAUUUUAUGUAUUUUGGGUGUCUUUAUAAAUAUUUAUAAUUUUUUGGGAUA
Tripterygium wilfordii is the source of this 659-nucleotide long non-coding RNA. RefSeq lists it as uncharacterized. NCBI's taxonomy places the organism in Eukaryota, Viridiplantae, Streptophyta, Magnoliopsida, Celastrales, Celastraceae. The record is from RefSeq and is a predicted model, not a curated record. The transcript is spliced from 2 exons.